CCUACGGGAGGCAGCAGUGGGGAAUAUUGCACAAUGGGGGAAACCCUGCUGCAGCGACGCCGCGUAAGUGACGAAGUAUUUCGGUAUGUAAGGUCCUAUCAGCAGGGAAGAAGCAAAACGGUCCCUGACUAAGAGCCCCCGCCAAACUACGUGCCAGCAGCCGCGGUAAUACGUAGGGGGCAAGCGUUAUCCGGAUUUACUGGGUGUAAAGGGAGCGUAGACGGUAUGGCAAGUCUGAAGUGAAAGCCCAGGGCUUAACCCUGGGACUGCUUUGGAAACUGUUAGACUAGAGUGCUGGAGAGGUAAGUGGAAUUCCUAGUGUAGCGGUGAAAUGCGUAGAUAUUAGGAGGAACACCAGUGGCGAAGGCGGCUUACUGGACAGUAACUGACGUUGAGGCUCGAAAGCGUGGGGAGCAAACAGGAUUAGAUACCCUGGUAGUC
RNAcentral lists this ribosomal RNA (441 nucleotides) under uncultured bacterium. Its description in RNAcentral is "partial 16S ribosomal RNA". It matches the Rfam family "Bacterial small subunit ribosomal RNA", at positions 338 to 795 of the family's 1533-position model. The record is from RNAcentral.